RNAcentral lists this transfer RNA (75 nucleotides) under Pseudomonadota bacterium. Its description in RNAcentral is "tRNA-Ala". It matches the Rfam family "tRNA". From Rfam's summary of the family: Transfer RNA (tRNA) molecules are approximately 80 nucleotides in length. Their secondary structure includes four short double-helical elements and three loops (D, anti-codon, and T loops). The record is from RNAcentral. Lineage: Bacteria; Pseudomonadati; Pseudomonadota. RNAcentral also lists the same sequence under 1 other name.
GGGGGCGUAGCUCAGCGGGAGAGCACCUGCUUUGCACGCAGGGGGUCAGGGGUUCGAGUCCCCUCGCCUCCACCA